UAUAGCUAACUCUUUCUCUUUCUAUUAAUCUUUUUUUCUCUUAUUACGUUGUUAAGUUAAUUUCUUUUAUAACAAUUCUCUGUUUCUUUCCUAUUUUUAUUAAAACAAAAGACCCAAAAAUCCCUAAUCACUUUUCAUCUUCUCCGAAAGAAGAGAGGGACUUCCCCCCCCCUCCCCCCGCACCCCUAUACUCUCUCCUCCUCUCUCCACCGCCUCUCCUUCUUCUCAAAAAGAGAACCACCUCCACAGACCCCUCUCUCCCUCCGCUCUCUCUACCUCCACUGCACCGCCUCACCCUCUCAGUCUCUCCUCUCUCCACCGCACCACUAUCGCCGCCUCUCUCUCUCUUCUCCUCCUCUUUACUCUCCGGCGAACCACGCCAAAGCCCGCCACCUCCCUCUCGUCUGCCUUCCUCUUAUCCGGCGGACAACCACGGAAUGGAGACCCCAGCGUCGUCCCCUGCUCCUCUCCCUUCGCCGGCGAUGCCUGAACCAACAACCACCGCCCCUCUCUUCGUGAAUCGCAGAGUUUCGACAAGGCUAGCAGUAGCGAUGUCAACAACGACCACCGUGAUCUAAACCAGAUUGACCGGAGAUUUGCCGAGUUCGAAACAUCUCGGAUAUUUUGAGACCCCAUUUGUGUUAAGAACGGAUCUGUGAAAGAUCCGUCCCAGGGCUUGAGCAUGAAGGUCAAGAUGUUGAAGAGUCGACUGGGAAGGGAUUUACUGGACAUGAUUAGUCAUGUUUAAGAUUUUACUUGUUUGAGUUACUUAUUCAUUUUUUUAGCAUGUAAUAUUUUUUUAUUAAAUACUUCUCUAUAAUAAUAAAUAAUCGGGGACCCCUUAAGGGAGGAGGGGAAACCUACGUGUA
Long non-coding RNA from Solanum dulcamara, 869 nucleotides. RefSeq lists it as uncharacterized. The record is from RefSeq and is a predicted model, not a curated record. The transcript is spliced from 2 exons. NCBI's taxonomy places the organism in Eukaryota, Viridiplantae, Streptophyta, Magnoliopsida, Solanales, Solanaceae.